Molecule: ribosomal RNA, 1014 nt
Filed under: uncultured bacterium
Lineage: Bacteria
Description: bacterial SSU rRNA
Rfam family: Bacterial small subunit ribosomal RNA
Source: RNAcentral
AGUUUGAUCCUGGCUCAUAAACGAACGCUGGCGGCGUGGCUAAGACAUGCAAGUCGAACGGGCCGGCGCUUAUUUGUUUACAAAUUAGUGCUGGUUAGUGGCGUAAGGGUUAGUAAUGGAUAGGUAACGUACCCUUUGCUUCGGGAUAGCGUCGUUCGCCUUCGGGCGAACUUCCGAAAGGGGCGGUAAUACCGGAUAAUAUCACUUGUCGAUGGGCAAAUGUUCAAAGAUUUAUCGGCAAAGGAGCGGCCUAUCUCUUAUCAGCUUGUUGGUGAGGUAAUGGCUCACCAAGGCUAUGACGGGUAGCGGGACUGAGAGGUUGGCCCGCAACAUCGGGACUGAGACACUGCCCGGACCUCCACGGAGGGCUGCAGUAACGAAUCUUGCGCAAUGGGCGAAAGCCUGACGCAGCGACGCCGCGUGCGGGAUGAAGUCCCUCGGGAUGUAAACCGCUGUCAGGGGGAAGAAAGUCCGCCUCGGCGGAUUGAUCUAACCCAGAGGAAGUCACGGCUAACUUCGUGCCAGCAGCCGCGGUAAGACGAAGGUGGCAAGCGUUGUUCGGUAUUACUGGGCUUAAAGAGUGUGUAGGCGGAGAGGUAAGCGUCCUGUGAAAGCCCCCGGCUCAACCGGGGAAUUGCGCGGCGAACUGCCUUUCUUGAGCCAAGUAGGGGUGCACGGAACUGUUGGUGGAGCGGUGGAUUGCGUAGAUAUCAACAGGAACGCCGGUGGAGAAAUCGGCUGCACUGGGCUUGUGCUGUCGCUGAGACACGAAAGCGUGGGGAGCGAACGGGCUUAGAUACCCCGGUAGUCCACGCCGUAAACGAUGUCUACUAGGUUGUGGCGGUUCUGACGCAAUCACGUCAGAAGCAAAAGUGCUAAGUAGACCGCCUCGGGAGUACGCCCGCAAGGCUAUUACUCAAAGGAAUUGACGGGGGUUCACACAAGCGGCGGAGCAUGUGGAUCAAUUCGAAGCAACGCGCAGAACCUUACCUGGGUUCGACAUGCUUGCAUGCU